Long non-coding RNA from Pipistrellus kuhlii (Kuhl's pipistrelle), 606 nucleotides. RefSeq lists it as uncharacterized. The transcript is spliced from 2 exons. Lineage: Eukaryota; Metazoa; Chordata; Mammalia; Chiroptera; Vespertilionidae. The record is from RefSeq and is a predicted model, not a curated record.
GUGGCCCCCGGGGCUGCGGCUGCUCUGUCGUCAAGGGCACACGAGGGGGUCCUGCACCCUUUUAAUCAGCCAGCGUCAGCCACGUGACUCACAUUUCCCUCCGGGCUGGAAGGUUCUGUUCUGGCAGCAGGUCUGGCUCGGGCACGUGGUUAGGUGAUAGCUAACCCAGCCCAACGAACAGUGACUCCCUAGUGGAAUCUGACACUAGUUCAAGUUCAGUGUCCUCCACGUGCUGCGGCCCCGCCUUCCUUCUCGGGACUUCUUUCCCUUCCUUCGUGGCCACUUCCCUGCUCUCUCGCCUUCGCGUGUCUCCUCCGCCGAGCGCCACGUGCCUGCAGACGCCUUCCCUAUGGCAGAUGAGAAGUUCUCAACUGGAAGCCAGUGCGUGCCUGGAGCCCCCCCGGGGGCUGGGCACCCUCGCCCUCUCCCCACGCCGGGACCCGCCGGACGCCUCUCACGGUCAGGAAAGAAUUAAAGACAACAUCCAGGACGGUCUCUGUACGUGGAAGAAUGAGAAUGUAUUCGCAGACAAAGCGUGACCUGAGGGAGAAGCCCGCCGGAAGCUGGAUUUUCAAUAACAUAAGACAAUAAAGCUCAGACGCCUAA